CCUGAGAAACCCGAAAGAUCGAAUGGGGAGAUUCACCGUCAGCGACGUCGGCUUCUCGGCGGUUCGCGAUGCGCGCGGCGUCCAUCCGGGCGUCCGCGUCGCACGCGUCCGCCGUGUCAUAAUUUUUUUUAUGUCCAUGCUCGGCGGCGUCGGCGUGCACUUCUCCCCUAGUAGGACGUCGCGACCCGUUGGGUGUCGGUCUACGGCCCGGGCUGUCGCCUGUCCCGUCGCUUCGGCGUCGCGGGGCAGACACCCGGUGUUGCCCGGCCGGCUGCCCGGCGGUACUCGCACGGUAUCUGGCCGCAUUCGAACUGCGUCGCUCAGGCCCGCCGCAAGCGCGGUCAGUGUAUACCCGGAGGUGCGGACCAAGCGCCGUCCCCGGGCCUGGCCCGCUGUUCGCCGGCGGUGUCCUCUGACAGGCCGUACGUCGCGCAAGCGACGUGGGAUACCGGUCGGCGACGCUACUGCUUUGGGUACUUUCAGG
RNAcentral lists this ribosomal RNA (484 nucleotides) under Evaniscus rufithorax. RNAcentral's name for it is "eukaryotic LSU rRNA". Lineage: Eukaryota; Metazoa; Arthropoda; Insecta; Hymenoptera; Evaniidae. The record is from RNAcentral.